This 345-nucleotide unclassified non-coding RNA is filed under the name soil metagenome. RNAcentral's name for it is "partial contains 5.8S ribosomal RNA, internal transcribed spacer 2, and large subunit ribosomal RNA". The stretch from base 1 to 119 matches the Rfam family "5.8S ribosomal RNA", at positions 35 to 154 of the family's 154-position model. The record is from RNAcentral.
GAUGAAGAACGUAGCGAAAUGCGAUACGUAAUGUGAAUUGCAAAUUCAGUGAAUCAUCGAGUCUUUGAACGCACAUUGCGCCCCCUGGUAUUCCGGGGGGCAUGCCUGUCCGAGCGUCAUUGCUGCCCUCAAGCACGGCUUGUGUGUUGGGCCCCGUCCUCCGAUCCCGGGGGACGGGCCCGAAAGGCAGUGGCGGCACCGCGUCCGGUCCUCGAGCGUAUGGGGCUUUGUCACCCGCUCUGUAGGCCCGGCCGGCGCUUGCCGAUCAACCCAAAUUUUUAUCCAGGUUGACCUCGGAUCAGGUAGGGAUACCCGCUGAACUUAAGCAUAUCAAUAAGCGGAGGA